Molecule: ribosomal RNA, 450 nt
Filed under: Pseudomonas sp. R-35700
Lineage: Bacteria; Pseudomonadati; Pseudomonadota; Gammaproteobacteria; Pseudomonadales; Pseudomonadaceae
Description: bacterial SSU rRNA
Rfam family: Bacterial small subunit ribosomal RNA
Source: RNAcentral
ACGGGUGNGUAAUGCCUAGGAAUCUGCCUGGUNGUGGGGGAUAACGUUCGGAAACGGACGCUAAUACCGCAUACGUCCUACGGGAGAAAGCAGGGGACCUUCGGGCCUUGCGCUAUCAGAUGAGCCUAGGUCGGAUUAGCUAGUUGGUGGGGUAAUGGCUCACCAAGGCGACGAUCCGUAACUGGUCUGAGAGGAUGAUCAGUCACACUGGAACUGAGACACGGUCCAGACUCCUACGGGAGGCAGCAGUGGGGAAUAUUGGACAAUGGGCGAAAGCCUGAUCCAGCCAUGCCGCGUGUGUGAAGAAGGUCUUCGGAUUGUAAAGCACUUUAAGUUGGGAGGAAGGGCAGUUGCCUAAUACGUAACUGUUUUGACGUUACCGACAGAAUAAGGCACCGGCUAACUCUGUGCCAGCCAGCCGCGGUAAUACAGAGGGUGCAAGCGUUAAUC